AGCAGUCGCCACGGGAAUACGUAGGUGGCAAGCGUUGUCCGGAAUUAUUGGGCGUAAAGCGCGCGCAGGCGGUUUCUUAAGUCUGAUGUGAAAGCCCCCGGCUUAACCGGGGAGGGUCAUUGGAGACUGGGAGACUUAGAGUGCAGAAGAGGAGAGUGGAAUUCCAUGUGUAGCGGUGAAAUGCGUAGAUAUAUGGAGGAACACCAGUGGCGAAGGCGACUCUCUGGUCUGUAACUGACGCUGAGGCGCGAAAGCGUGGGGAGCAAACAGGAUUAGAUACCCGCGUAGUCCCUGUCUCUUAUA
This 303-nucleotide ribosomal RNA is filed under the name uncultured bacterium. RNAcentral's name for it is "partial 16S ribosomal RNA". It matches the Rfam family "Bacterial small subunit ribosomal RNA", at positions 507 to 808 of the family's 1533-position model. The record is from RNAcentral.